ACUAAAUAAGUAAAUAAAUAAAAAAUCACAUCAUACGAAUUUUGGUCAUGGUUGGGCCACACAUUUAUUUUCUACAAUAUUCUUGAACUCCACCAUUUCUAUCAUCCUAGUGGGCGACAUCAGCAUCAGACGGUCAGGGUUUGCAUUGAGAAAUAAAAUAAAAUAAAAUAAAAUAAAUUUAAUGAUCCAAAUUUCCCAACUCUCUAGGAAACACGCUUCUCCUUUUUUCUCUUUAAUGAUUUUUUUGGAACAAAAAUACCCUUAUACUUUUCAAUAAUGCCAAACAUGUCCUUAAUAGACUCACUUCUCUCCCGGCCCUAGCUCAUCUUCUCUCCCGUUUCAUUCUUCACAAAAAAGAAAAAAACGAUGGAAGCUGUUGUGGCUGUUCUUCACAAAAAGGAAGAGAAGAAAUCAAAGAGUACAUGUAUAUCUCCAAAAGAAGUUUUGCCAACAAAUCAAUUCUUUUUCACCGAGCACUUUUCUUCCAUGACUGAUUCUGAUAGGACAUGGCCAAGUUAAUUGGUUGAAUCUUUAUAUGUGUUAGCUGUCUCCUUCUUAGGAAAAUUGGAGACUAGUGGAAAGGUGAAGAAAAGAGCAGAAGAGAGGAAAGGAGACAGUUUAAAGAAGAAACUGGUGUCCCGCUCCAUCAGGACGGGUCUUCAGUUCCAUGUUGCUUUUUAUGUGCUUGUAGAUAAAUCUUUUUUUUUAAGAAUGUUUUUAGGCCUGUGAAAUUCUCUCUUUUACUUUUAUUCUGCCAUGUACAAUAUUCUUUCUACUUAAUAUGAGUGAAUGAAAUCAAUUUUAUUUCAAAUA
Molecule: long non-coding RNA, 813 nt
Organism: Populus trichocarpa (black cottonwood)
Lineage: Eukaryota; Viridiplantae; Streptophyta; Magnoliopsida; Malpighiales; Salicaceae
Exons: 2
Source: RefSeq, a predicted model, not a curated record